RNAcentral lists this ribosomal RNA (440 nucleotides) under uncultured bacterium. Its description in RNAcentral is "partial 16S ribosomal RNA". It matches the Rfam family "Bacterial small subunit ribosomal RNA", at positions 338 to 795 of the family's 1533-position model. The record is from RNAcentral.
CCUACGGGAGGCAGCAGUAGGGAAUAUUGCUCAAUGGGGGAAACCCUGAAGCAGCAACGCCGCGUGGAGGAUGAAGGUUUUCGGAUUGUAAACUCCUUUUGUUAGAGAAGAUAAUGACGGUAUCUAACGAAUAAGCACCGGCUAACUCCGUGCCAGCAGCCGCGGUAAUACGGAGGGUGCAAGCGUUACUCGGAGUCACUGGGCGUAAAGAGAGCGUAGGCGGGAUAGCAAGUCAGAUGUGAAAUCCUAUGGCUUAACCAUAGAACUGCAUUUGAAACUGUUAUUCUAGAGUAUGGGAGAGGUAGGUGGAAUUCUUGGUGUAGGGGUAAAAUCCGUAGAGAUCAAGAGGAAUACUCAUUGCGAAGGCGACCUGCUAGAACAUAACUGACGCUGAUGCGCGAAAGCGUGGGGAGCAAACAGGAUUAGAUACCCCGGUAGUC